This 88-nucleotide small nucleolar RNA is filed under the name Oryza sativa (Asian cultivated rice). RNAcentral describes it as "box C/D snoRNA J49.1". Lineage: Eukaryota; Viridiplantae; Streptophyta; Magnoliopsida; Poales; Poaceae. The record is from RNAcentral.
UUGUGGCCGUUGAUGAAGUGGUUCUUGUGGGUGGGCUUGCUUUGAACUGAAGGUGGGCCCGGACCAACGCUUCGUUUGUACAUCGCAA